RNAcentral lists this transfer RNA (73 nucleotides) under Bacteriophage sp. RNAcentral describes it as "tRNA-Asn". It matches the Rfam family "tRNA". Rfam says of the family: Transfer RNA (tRNA) molecules are approximately 80 nucleotides in length. Their secondary structure includes four short double-helical elements and three loops (D, anti-codon, and T loops). The record is from RNAcentral.
UGGCUUGUAGUUCAACAGGUAGAACGCUUGACUGUUAAUCAAGUAGUUGUAGGUUCGAGUCCUAUCAAGUCAG